GACGAACGCUGGCGGCGUGCCUAAUACAUGCAAGUUGAGCGCUGAAGGUUGGUACUUGUCCCAACUGGAUGAGCAGCGAACGGGUGAGUAACGCGUGGGUAAUCUGCCUUUGAGCGGGGGACAACAUUUGGAAACGAAUGCUAAUACCGCAUAAAAACUUUAAACACAAGUUUUAAGUUUGAAAGAUGCAAUUGCAUCACUUAAAGAUGAUCCCGCGUUGUAUUAGCUAGUUGGUGAGGUAAAGGCUCACCAAGGCGAUGAUACAUAGCCGACCUGAGAGGGUGAACGGCCACAAUGGGACUGAGACACGGCCCAAGAUCCUAAGGGAAGCAGCAGUAGGGAAUCUUCGGCAAUGGACGAAAGGCUGAACGAGCAACGGCGCGGGAGUGAAGAAGGUUUUCGGAUCGUAAAACUCUGUUGGUAGAGGAGAACGUUGGGGAGAGUGAAAAGCUCAUCAAGUGACGGUAACUACCCAGAAAGGGACGGCUAACUACGUG
Molecule: ribosomal RNA, 497 nt
Filed under: uncultured bacterium
Lineage: Bacteria
Description: partial 16S ribosomal RNA
Rfam family: Bacterial small subunit ribosomal RNA
Source: RNAcentral